Molecule: long non-coding RNA, 231 nt
Filed under: Capsicum annuum
Lineage: Eukaryota; Viridiplantae; Streptophyta; Magnoliopsida; Solanales; Solanaceae
Description: long non-coding RNA (CANN_LNC021546)
Source: RNAcentral
GGAAGGUUUAAAGUGAUUAACUGUAGGAACUUUAAAGGUGCUUUUUUGUUUUGAAAGUGGUUAUUUUUGGUUAGGUGGUAGAUUGAAAAUGGUUAUGUGUAGGGACUUUAAAGGCUUUUUUUUGUUUUGAAAGUGGUUAUGUUUGGUAGCUUUAUAGGUAGAAAAUGGAUAAGUGAAGGGACUUUAAAGGUGCUUUUUUGUUUUGAAAAUGGUUAUGUUUGGUGAGGUGGU